UUUGUCACGAUUCCACACGACUGGAGCGUCUGACCGUCAUCAUCAUAGUUGCACUGUGGGUAUGCGCUGAUGAUGUCAUAACUGGACACACCGCCCCUUCUGUAGUGCAGCGACAAACAAACAGCAGGCUGGGUCACGUGAUUGUAAAAGCAGCGGUGCGGUCAGUGCAUUGAGAUGUGUCCUCACCUGUGUUUGUCCAGGUACCUCCGCAGGUCACCGACUGUUUCCGACGGGGACAUUUUCACUAUCUUUGCCCUCAGCGAGUUCCUGAUAUCAAUCACUCGGCCGGCCUUCACCACCAACUUCGGCAACUUGUUCAGGAACUGAUCCGUGGUCAGCUUCUUGCCUUUGAAUCAGAUGAAAACAUGAGAAUGACAGCAAAGUCUCUGAGGAUCUGCACCGUGGCUUUGAUCAGGGUGACGUUUGCAGAACAGACCGGGAGGGUCACUCGCUGCAUCAUGGCAGACAUGAGGUCAAAGUUGGUCGGAGGACACCCUGAAAACCAGCAG
Long non-coding RNA from Pelmatolapia mariae (spotted tilapia), 509 nucleotides. RefSeq lists it as uncharacterized. NCBI's taxonomy places the organism in Eukaryota, Metazoa, Chordata, Actinopteri, Cichliformes, Cichlidae. The transcript has 3 exons. The record is from RefSeq and is a predicted model, not a curated record.